Molecule: long non-coding RNA, 208 nt
Filed under: Elaeis guineensis (African oil palm)
Lineage: Eukaryota; Viridiplantae; Streptophyta; Magnoliopsida; Arecales; Arecaceae
Description: long non-coding RNA (EGUI_LNC035853)
Source: RNAcentral
GUGUUCUUCUUUAUGGGAUCUAAUCAUAUGGCAUCCCUACAUGCCAUAAGAGCAUCCCAUCGAAUAGGAAGAGAGGGCCUUUAAACCCUUCUUGCUCCUAUAACCGAAUGGCUUGGCGAUCGACCUAAUUCAAGUACUUGCUAAUCGGACCAUCUAAUCUAAUCACAUAUCAUAUAUGCUUGAAUUUAUAUCUAAUCUAAAUUAUAUC